GUGCCAGCCGCCGCGGUAAUACCGGCAGCCCAAGUGAUGGCCGCUGUUAUUGGGCCUAAAGCGUCCGUAGCUGGCCGCACAAGUCCGUCGGGAAAUCCGCCCGCUCAACGGGCGGCCGUCCGGCGGAACCUGUGUGGCUUGGGACCGGGAGGCCUGAGGGGUACGUCCGGGGUAGGAGUGAAAUCCCAUAAUCCCGCACGGACCACCGAUGGCGAAAGCACUUCGAGAAAACGGAUCCGACGGUGAGGGACGAAAGCCAGGGUCUCCAACCGGAUUAGAUACCCCAGUAGUCC
RNAcentral lists this ribosomal RNA (293 nucleotides) under uncultured bacterium. RNAcentral describes it as "partial 16S ribosomal RNA". It matches the Rfam family "Archaeal small subunit ribosomal RNA", at positions 455 to 747 of the family's 1478-position model. The record is from RNAcentral.